This 1646-nucleotide ribosomal RNA is filed under the name Salmonella enterica subsp. enterica serovar Newport. Its description in RNAcentral is "partial 23S ribosomal RNA". It matches the Rfam family "Bacterial large subunit ribosomal RNA", at positions 1292 to 2916 of the family's 2925-position model. The record is from RNAcentral. Lineage: Bacteria; Pseudomonadati; Pseudomonadota; Gammaproteobacteria; Enterobacterales; Enterobacteriaceae.
GAAUGCUGACAUAAGUAACGAUAAAGCGGGUGAAAAGCCCGCUCGCCGGAAGACCAAGGGUUCCUGUCCAACGUUAAUCGGGGCAGGGUGAGUCGACCCCUAAGGCGAGGCCGAAAGGCGUAGUCGAUGGGAAACGGGUUAAUAUUCCCGUACUUGGUGUUACUGCGAAGGGGGGACGGAGAAGGCUAUGUUGGCCGGGCGACGGUUGUCCCGGUUUAAGCGUGUAGGUGUGUGUUCCAGGUAAAUCCGGUUCACUUUAACACUGAGGCGUGACGACGAGGCACUACGGUGCUGAAGCAACAAAUGCCCUGCUUCCAGGAAAAGCCUCUAAGCAUCAGGUAACAUCAAAUCGUACCCCAAACCGACACAGGUGGUCAGGUAGAGAAUACCAAGGCGCUUGAGAGAACUCGGGUGAAGGAACUAGGCAAAAUGGUGCCGUAACUUCGGGAGAAGGCACGCUGACACGUAGGUGAAGUGAUUUACUCACGGAGCUGAAGUCAGUCGAAGAUACCAGCUGGCUGCAACUGUUUAUUAAAAACACAGCACUGUGCAAACACGAAAGUGGACGUAUACGGUGUGACGCCUGCCCGGUGCCGGAAGGUUAAUUGAUGGGGUCAGCGCAAGCGAAGCUCCUGAUCGAAGCCCCGGUAAACGGCGGCCGUAACUAUAACGGUCCUAAGGUAGCGAAAUUCCUUGUCGGGUAAGUUCCGACCUGCACGAAUGGCGUAAUGAUGGCCAGGCUGUCUCCACCCGAGACUCAGUGAAAUUGAACUCGCUGUGAAGAUGCAGUGUACCCGCGGCAAGACGGAAAGACCCCGUGAACCUUUACUAUAGCUUGACACUGAACAUUGAGCCUUGAUGUGUAGGAUAGGUGGGAGGCUUUGAAGUGUGGACGCCAGUCUGCAUGGAGCCGACCUUGAAAUACCACCCUUUAAUGUUUGAUGUUCUAACGUGGACCCGUAAUCCGGGUUGCGGACAGUGUCUGGUGGGUAGUUUGACUGGGGCGGUCUCCUCCUAAAGAGUAACGGAGGAGCACGAAGGUUGGCUAAUCCUGGUCGGACAUCAGGAGGUUAGUGCAAUGGCAUAAGCCAGCUUGACUGCGAGCGUGACGGCGCGAGCAGGUGCGAAAGCAGGUCAUAGUGAUCCGGUGGUUCUGAAUGGAAGGGCCAUCGCUCAACGGAUAAAAGGUACUCCGGGGAUAACAGGCUGAUACCGCCCAAGAGUUCAUAUCGACGGCGGUGUUUGGCACCUCGAUGUCGGCUCAUCACAUCCUGGGGCUGAAGUAGGUCCCAAGGGUAUGGCUGUUCGCCAUUUAAAGUGGUACGCGAGCUGGGUUUAGAACGUCGUGAGACAGUUCGGUCCCUAUCUGCCGUGGGCGCUGGAGAACUGAGGGGGGCUGCUCCUAGUACGAGAGGACCGGAGUGGACGCAUCACUGGUGUUCGGGUUGUCAUGCCAAUGGCACUGCCCGGUAGCUAAAUGCGGAAGAGAUAAGUGCUGAAAGCAUCUAAGCACGAAACUUGCCCCGAGAUGAGUUCUCCCUGAGACUUAGAGUCUCCUGAAGGAACGUUGAAGACGACGACGUUGAUAGGCCGGGUGUGUAAGCGCAGCGAUGCGUUGAGCUAACCGGUACUAAUGAACCGUGAGG